This 254-nucleotide ribosomal RNA is filed under the name uncultured bacterium. Its description in RNAcentral is "partial 16S ribosomal RNA". It matches the Rfam family "Bacterial small subunit ribosomal RNA", at positions 524 to 776 of the family's 1533-position model. The record is from RNAcentral.
UACGAACCGUCCAAACGUUAUUCGGAAUCACUGGGCUUAAAGGGCGCGUAGGCGGCCGAGCGGGUCGCGGGUGAAAUCCUCCAGCCUAACUGGAGAACUGCCCUCGAUACCACUGCGGCUCGAGGAAGGAAGGGGCAAUCGGAACUGUCGGUGGAGCGGUGAAAUGCGUUGAUAUCGACAGGAACGCCGGUGGCGAAAGCGGAUUGCUGGUCCUUUUCUGACGCUGAGGCGCGAAAGCCAGGGGAGCAAACGGG